UGGGGGAGUAUUGCACAAUGGGGGGAACCCGUGAUGCAGCGACGCCGCGUGGGUGAAGAAGCGCCUCGGCGCGUAAAGCCCUGUCAGCAGGGAAGAAAAUGACGGUACCUGAAGAAGAAGCCCCGGCUAACUACGUGCCAGCAGUCGCGGUAAUAGAUGUU
This 161-nucleotide ribosomal RNA is filed under the name uncultured bacterium. RNAcentral's name for it is "partial 16S ribosomal RNA". It matches the Rfam family "Bacterial small subunit ribosomal RNA", at positions 354 to 531 of the family's 1533-position model. The record is from RNAcentral.